Molecule: long non-coding RNA, 421 nt
Filed under: Salmo salar (Atlantic salmon)
Lineage: Eukaryota; Metazoa; Chordata; Actinopteri; Salmoniformes; Salmonidae
Description: lncRNA (ENSSSAG00000107486.1)
Source: RNAcentral
GGCUAGUUAGUAAGGGGCUAGUUAGGUAGAGGCUAGUUAGUUAGGGGCUAAUUAGUUAGGGGCUAGUUAGUUAGGGGGUAGUUAGUACCCUGAGGUUAUGCAGGCUGCUAGUUAGUUAGGGGCUAGUUAGUUGGAGGCUAGUUAGUUAGGGGCUAGUUAGUACCCUGAGGUUAUGCAGGCUGCUAGUUAGUUGGAGGCUAGUUAGUUGGAGGCUAGUUAGUUAGGGGCUAGUUAUACCCUGAGGUUAUGCAGGCUACUAGUUAGUUAGGGCUAGUUAGUUAGCGGUUAGUUAUACCCUGAGGUUAUGCAGGCUGCUAAUAAGUUAGGGAGUAGUUAGUUAGGGGCUAGUUGGUUAGGGGCUAGAUAGGUAGAGGGUAGUUAGUUAGUUGCUAGUUAGUUAGGGGCUAGUUAGUACCCUGAG